GCGAUGUCCUGAUAAAAAACUGAAACAUUAGAAAAUACCUAAUAAUGCCUACAGGCAUAAACACAUCUCACAAAUGCAAAACUAAAACAUGUCCGAAAAAUAAAGAAAAAAUAAGAGAUUUUCAUAUGCCAUUCUUUCUGAAGUUAAACCAUAAAUAUAUCACUCAGUAUGUACAACAGAUAAUAUUUUAGCAAAAUAUACAACUGCUGCCAGUUAAAGAAAAAGGCACCAUGGUAUGAUGAUAUUGAAACAAUAAAAACUCGCACUAACACCAUAAAGUGAUGCACUGAAGAAAAUAUUCAGUGAUUGGAAUAGUCAGCUUGGUAUGCCUAACUUCAUAUGAACUGAGGAAAAAUUACAGAGAGAGAGAGAGAGUAUAGCACAACCACACAGCCACUGUCUAAACUCUGAAACCAAAACUUUCAUUGAGGGAUUCUUACCACACAGAGGCCAGACAAUGAUGGAAAUUCUCAGUAGAUGAAUGAACUAAUACUUUCUGGAUAUAAGGAGUAAGGAUUCUGAAAAUGAAAAUGAUAAGGAAGAAGAAACAACUGUAAGCAAAACCUUGAAUACACCUUGUGCGAAAAGAAAACAGCAAUUUUGGAUUCCCCAAUCAUUUAGGUUUAUUCUAAAACUACAUCGUCUUAGGAGUUAGCAGUAAUCAGGAGGAAUCAACAUGAUAACAUCAUAAUGGCAAUGUAAACAUUGAAACUCAGUGGACUCUAUGUGCUAAAGGGGAGUAGAGUACCAGGAUUCCACCAGUUCUGUUUUCAAAGUUUGAUUGUGUAGCAUUUG
This 795-nucleotide unclassified non-coding RNA is filed under the name Hevea brasiliensis (rubber tree). The record is from RNAcentral. Lineage: Eukaryota; Viridiplantae; Streptophyta; Magnoliopsida; Malpighiales; Euphorbiaceae.